This 259-nucleotide ribosomal RNA is filed under the name uncultured bacterium. RNAcentral's name for it is "partial 16S ribosomal RNA". It matches the Rfam family "Bacterial small subunit ribosomal RNA", at positions 793 to 1055 of the family's 1533-position model. The record is from RNAcentral.
GUCCACGCCGUAACGAUGAGUGCUAAGUGUUGGAGGGUUCCACCCUUCAGUGCUGCAGCUAACGCAUUAAGCACUCCGCCUGGGAGUACGGCCGCAAGGCUGAACUCAAGGAAUUGACGGGGACCCGCACAAGCGGUGGAGCAUGUGGUUUAAUUCGAAGCAACGCGAAGAACCUUACCAGGUCUUGACAUCCUUUUGACAAUCCUAGAGAUAGGACUUUCCUUCGGGGACAAAGUGACAGGUGGUGCAUGGUUGUCGU